RNAcentral lists this ribosomal RNA (253 nucleotides) under uncultured bacterium. Its description in RNAcentral is "partial 16S ribosomal RNA". It matches the Rfam family "Bacterial small subunit ribosomal RNA", at positions 524 to 776 of the family's 1533-position model. The record is from RNAcentral.
UACGGAGGGUGCAAACGUUGCUCGGAAUCAUUGGGCGUAAAGCGCACGUAGGCGGCUCGUUAAGUCGGACGUGAAAGCCCCGGGCUCAACUCGGGAAGUGCAUUCGAAACUGGCGAGCUUGAAUAUGGAAGAGGGUCGCGGAAUUCCCGGUGUAGAGGUGAAAUUCGUAGAUAUCGGGAGGAACACCAGUGGCGAAGGCGGCGACCUGGGCCAAUAUUGACGCUGAGGUGCGAAAGCCAGGGGAGCAAACGGG